RNAcentral lists this ribosomal RNA (596 nucleotides) under Drusilla sp. 2 HE-2012. RNAcentral describes it as "partial 16S ribosomal RNA". The stretch from base 350 to 508 matches the Rfam family "Bacterial large subunit ribosomal RNA", at positions 2473 to 2632 of the family's 2925-position model. Lineage: Eukaryota; Metazoa; Arthropoda; Insecta; Coleoptera; Staphylinidae. The record is from RNAcentral.
AAUGAGGAUUUAAAUGGCCGCAGUAUUUUGACUGUGCAAAGGUAGCAUAAUCAUUAGUUUCUUAAUUAGUAACUGGAAUGAAAGGUUGGACGAGAAAAUAACUGUCUCUUUAUAAAUUAUUUAGAAUUUUAUUUUUAAGUUAAAAAGCUUAAAUUUAUUUAAAAGACGAGAAGACCCUAUAGAGUUUAAUUAAUUUAUUAAUAAAAUCUUAUUUUGAAUUUAUAAAUUUUUAUUAAUAAAUUAAUUUAAUUGGGGUGAUUGAAAAAUUUAUUUAACUUUUUUUUUAUAGCAACAUUAAUUUAUGAAUAUUUGAUCCAUUAUUAUGAUUAUAAGAUUAAAUUACCUUAGGGAUAACAGCGUAAUUUCUUUUUAGAGUUCUAAUCGAUAAAGAAGUUUGCGACCUCGAUGUUGGAUUAAAAUUAAUUUUUGGUGUAGUAGCUAAAAUAUUAGGUCUGUUCGACCUUUAAAAUUUUACAUGAUCUGAGUUUAAACCGGUGUGAGCCAGGUUGGUUUCUAUCUUUAAAUAUAUUUAAUAUUUUAGUACGAAAGGACCAGAUAUUAUAAAUAAUUUUAUUUAUAAUGAAUAUUAUUAAUUA